AGCUUUAUAUUCAAUUAUGAUUUAAAAUUGCAAAUUUUAAGGUAUAGAAGAAAUAAACUAUUAAGGCUU
RNAcentral lists this transfer RNA (69 nucleotides) under Cnethodonta grisescens. Its description in RNAcentral is "tRNA-Cys". The record is from RNAcentral. Lineage: Eukaryota; Metazoa; Arthropoda; Insecta; Lepidoptera; Notodontidae.